RNAcentral lists this ribosomal RNA (87 nucleotides) under Triticum aestivum (bread wheat). Its description in RNAcentral is "partial small subunit ribosomal RNA". Lineage: Eukaryota; Viridiplantae; Streptophyta; Magnoliopsida; Poales; Poaceae. The record is from RNAcentral.
AUGCCAUCCCUGCGUCCCCGCGUCCCCGCGAUCAAUCUAGGAGAUGCUAGCAACAAGAGAGAUGGAGUGCAUCUUCAUACCUCUUGA